Molecule: long non-coding RNA, 4366 nt
Filed under: Sus scrofa (pig)
Lineage: Eukaryota; Metazoa; Chordata; Mammalia; Artiodactyla; Suidae
Description: lncRNA (ENSSSCG00025030971.1)
Source: RNAcentral
CACUUCCCUGAACAUUUGAAAAUGAGUAGCCAUUUCAUAGUGUUGAGGAAAGGAAAUGCUAGUAUUCCAUUUACCCCAUUUAUAUAUUAAAUAUUUAAUUCCAAAAAUAUUACAGUAACUGUAUUUAAUAUGUACACUUGUCGUUAGAGCUAAAAAGCACUUCGUAUACAUUAUCUUACUUGAUUUAAUCAAAAGACAGUAGAAGUGCUGAAUAGAUUGGUAGAUGCAAGGUCUGUGUAACUAAAUUGCAAGCUAUCAUGUUUAAUUUUCAUAUUAGCAUUAUAUGCCUAAUAUACAUUUUUUAUCUCCAAAUAAUUCUGUCCAUUUAUAUCGUAUGUAUAUCUUAAGGAAUUUCAUUAUUUUAGAAAUGGCAUUAAAUAGUGUUUUGGAACAAAUGGAACAUCUAUGAGUAGGUUUCUCUAUAUAAAAGAAAAACUAUAGGGUAAUCAUAUGAUACCUUCAUCCCUAGAAAAACUUUGUUUUGUAAUGGGAUUUUAUGAAGCUCAAUUCAUUUUUUUCCUCUAUUUUUACAAAAAUCUAGUUUUAGUUUAAAUGCUUUCAUGUGUAGAAAGUGUUGAAAAAAUUUGUAUUUUUCUACAAAUAGGAAUUUUUUAAAAAUGUAGUUAUCAGCAUGACUCUGUGCUUUAGAAUAUGUAUCUGAAUUGGCGUGAUGCUACAUCUGCUUUGCUUUUUGCUGUGUGCCAUUAACCUAAAUUUGGUAAUGUCCAGUGUCUGAAUGUUGGUGUAUUUUUAGUGUUUGCUUUUAAUUAUUUUAUGCCCGUGAGUCCUUUGACAGUUUUCAUCUCAGGUGAAGAAAGAUCAUAAGUUUUCUUUCCAUAUUCUUUAGGUUGUUUUUCAGUGUUUGAAUUAUACCAAGAUAGAAGUCACAUGAAAAUGUUUUAUUUGUAUGUUUCACUUAAGUGAGCAUGAUUAAAAUGUGUUUAAUGUGUUUGAUAUGUUACUUAAUGGUUGUUAUAUUAAUCUCACGGCAACACCGGAUCCUUAACCCACUGAGCAAGGCCAGGGAUCGAACCCGCAACCUCCUGGUUCCUAGUCGGAUUCGUUAACCACUGCGCCAUGACGGGAACUCCUCUUUUCCAUUUUUUAAAUUAGAGUUUAGUUGCUUUACAAUGUUGUAAUGAAAUCUACUAUUUCAUAUUUAAUGCUAGUGAAUGGGAAUGAAAGGCUAUAUUGACACAGCAGAACAAAAACAAAAAUCCUUUAAACUGAGUAAAACAAGGCAGUAUAGACUUCAGCAUUUCUCUGUAGGAGAGACUGUCUAAGUCAUGUCAAUAAUAGGGUAUCAGUAUGAAAGAUGGCUGAGAACACAAUUUGUAUGCCAUUUUAGAGUUGUUCUCCUAGAAAAACACACACAUAGUUCAAGUCUGAAAUCACUAAAAGUUAGUUUUAAGAAAACACACUGCUGUUUUAUGAUCUGGAACCAUACCUGUCUCUCUGGCCCUGCAUUUUGUGAACCUUUAAAUAAAAUUGUAAUAAUAAUUUUCUGUAUUAUCACAUUAAUAUGCUAAAAAGCUUGAUGAGUGAAGUUUCUGCAGAAUAUGCAAGGAAAGGAUUCCUUUCUAAUUGGAAUAGUUUCAGAAAAAUUGGUGUAUUAGGAUCCUAGCAAAACUUAGUAAAUAUCAAAGUAUAGCAGAGAAUCUAAAUUCCAGGUGAAAUUCAAACUGUGGCUUCUAUGCAGUAAUUAAUGCUAUUAUGCUAGUCUUUUAAAAAAUGUAAGCAUAACCAGUCAAUUGGAUUUAAGAGUUUUGUUGUAUUUUUGUAAAUUUUACUAAUGUUCUGUCUGAAAAUUUUAAUCUUUAAUAUAAAUAUUUAUAUAUAAUACUUGUAAGCAUGUUGGAAUAAUUUUACUUUUUCUGAACUUGUAGAUUUUAUUUGUUUUAGUGACAAAUCUUCACAUCAUUUCCUUAACUUACAUUAUUUGUAAGUUUGUACAGAUCUCUGAGUCUUUAGAAGUCAUUGUGGUUUUCACUUUUCUGAUUUGAAUUUUAUUUAUUUAAUGUGAGGUUUGCCUUUUGGAAAAGUAAAAGUAUGUAUUGGUUUUCUGCCCUUUUUCUUGUGCUACAAGAGUUACAUCCCUUCAGAGUGGUAACAUGCUCUGUCACUUGCUCAUCAAGCACUGAAUAAUUCUCUUGUCAUGACUAUAAGACAUUUUUGUUAUUAUGAGAAAACAUAUGUAUAAUACUUCCUUGGAAGUGUUUUCUGUUUGACUUUUAUAAGUUUCUUCUGUGGGAAAUAUGGAGUUAGUUUGUUUCCAUUUACUCAUUGGGAAACUGAGAUACACAAAGUUUAUCUUCAUUUUUACUCACUGAAGUCCUUCACUAACAAGCAGAAGAAUGUGAGCAUUUUACAUCUAGUUCUGUGGUUGGUUUAUUGAAUAUCAUUUCCUAGUACCACAUUAACUGCAUUAGUUUCAUUUAUUAACCUAUAUUUGUGAUAUUUCUCAAGGAAUGGAAAAACAGUCAUUUCUUUCCUAAAAUCAUGAAAGAAUGGACUUAUUACAUUAUUAUUUAAGUAUAUUUUUAGGUUUGUAAGGAAAAUAUUAAUAUCCAAUCCUUCAAACCUUCUGCCUUCUUGCACCCAGGACAAUAUUGUACUUAUAUUGUGUGACAAGUAUUUAAAUGUUUGUUAAAUGUAUGCAUUAUUAAAUGAAGGAGUAAAUGAAACAUUGGACAUCAUUAGAGAGUGUGGGACCGUGUUAAGCACAAUAAAAUGUACAGAGUAGAACAUAAAUUCGGGGUCCAACUGGUAGGUUUUAGUGCCUAGACUUUAUCAGGUUCAUUUGUCAUUUGAGUUGAAUUUUCCUAUCAUCUUCUAGGCCAUACUUAAUUUUAAUGGGGUUGCCAUGUUUAACACUUAAACAAAAACUUAAAAUAAGAACACUGGAAAAUAUAAAGUCUAAUGUGCCUAAUAUACUAGGCUUGAAAAGGUGCCCAAUAAACAGGGAUAAAAAAAUAAAUAUGACCUCUUCUCUUAUCAGGCUUAUUUUUAAGAGUCCUGAAAUUCGUCAAGGCAUAUAUAAGUUCAUAGUUAAAGUCAAGCUGAACAGGCAAGUAUCUUUGCCUUCUCUGUUUUACACUGAGCUCCUUUGUGACAUAUUCUAUGAUAGGAUAGGUUCAAUACCCAGUAUAUGAUAGUGAUAAUAAACCCUGCAGCUUGGGUAGAAGUAAAUUCCAGACAAUCUACUACAUUAUUCUUUACUCUCGUAUAGUACUACAUAUUUUUGGCUAGUUUUACUCAAUAUGCUUGUUGGCAACAGAGUGAGUCUUUUGAAAGAGCAGCUGAUGGUAAUAUUUGAAGAGAUCACUAGUGGACACAAAAAAAGCAGAAGAAAGGAAUCUGGAAGCGAAUCUGUUUUUGGCCAAUUAGUGACAGAAGUUUCUGAAUUACUCCUUUUUCUUAUUUUUCAUUGUUAUCUGAUUUGAUUAGGAAAAGAAAAGAAAUUUUAAUUUUUACCCUUGUCCUGCAGGGCCAGACUUCACUGUUUUAAAAUAUAACUGACAAGUGAAUUUCAUUAAGACUGAUAAUAUGGCAGCAUAGUGAAAGUUUGCAACUAUUACCAGCAUGUAGAAAUUUUAGCCUAGCUAUUCUUUUUGACCAGUGUUCUAUUACUUGUCAGAGUGAUCUUAUAUUUAUGAUGGUGAAUAUAAUGGGUUGAAGAGGUUUUAUUUUAAAUUUUCAUUCAUAUUUUGUGUGUGUGUGCUUUAGUUUUUUAGGAUUUGCUUUCAUUGUGGGGCUAGCUUCAAGGUAGGAAAAGGCAAUUAGAUAAUGCUUUUAUAUAUGUGGCAAAGAAACACUAGGAAUUAUUAGUGAGACAUGUCAACUGAUUCUUAAAUGUAUAUUUUCAGUGGUAAAUAUUCUUAUUUGUUAGUUGUUUCCAUACAAAAAACAAGAAUUCCUAUCAUUAAAAUAGUAGUAAAGUUAUUUCUGAUAAAGGGAUGUAUGAUAGGACUACAAGUCCUCAGUUCCAGGAAUUUUAGCGAAUUUCUCUCUGCAUUUCAUAUUCCAAAUUCUUUGUCUUUAUACUCACUCCCUUCCUCCACACAGACGCUUGAAUGAUUGCCAUCUUCCUGAGCCUCCUCUUGAUAUGAGCAGAAUAUGAAGGCAAAGACUAUCUCUGAUUGUACAGGCACUCUAUCUAUAGUACUUAAGCAGAAUAUCUGGUAUAAAAAUUAUACACAUUUGUGGAGUGAAUGAACACUCAUACUUUUGUCACCUUAAAAAUCAAGAACAAAAGUUUAGUUCUUAGGAGUUCUUCUUUGGGGCAGUGGGUUAAGGAUUCCAUGUUGUCACUGCAGUGGCUCGGGUUGCCACUGUGGCAUGGGUUUAAUCCCUGGCCUGGGAACUU